Molecule: ribosomal RNA, 449 nt
Filed under: uncultured bacterium
Lineage: Bacteria
Description: partial 16S ribosomal RNA
Rfam family: Bacterial small subunit ribosomal RNA
Source: RNAcentral
AGCGAACGCUGGCGGCAGGCCUAACACAUGCAAGUCAAACGAAGUCUUCGGACUUAGUGGCGGACGGGUGAGUAACACGUGGGAACGUGCCUUUAGGUUCGGAAUAACUCAGGGAAACUUGUGCUAAUACCGAAUGUGCCCUUCGGGGGAAAGAUUUAUCGCCUUUAGAGCGGCCCGCGUCUGAUUAGCUAGUUGGUGAGGUAAAGGCUCACCAAGGCGACGAUCAGUAGCUGGUCUGAGCGGAUGAUCAGCCACAUUGGGACUGAGACACGGACCAAAAUCCUACGGGAGGCAGCAGUGGGGAAUCGUGCGCAAUGGGCGAAAGCAUGACGCAGCGAUGCCGCGUGAAUGAUGAAGGUCUUAGGAUUGUAAAAUUCUUUCACCGGGGACGAUAAUGACGGUACCCGGAGAAGAAGCCCCGGCUAACUUCGUGCCAGCCGCCGCCGUAA